Molecule: ribosomal RNA, 580 nt
Filed under: Aspergillus tamarii
Lineage: Eukaryota; Fungi; Ascomycota; Eurotiomycetes; Eurotiales; Aspergillaceae
Description: eukaryotic LSU rRNA
Rfam family: 5.8S ribosomal RNA (bases 195-348)
Source: RNAcentral
AAGGAUCAUUACCGAGUGUAGGGUUCCUAGCGAGCCCAACCUCCCACCCGUGUUUACUGUAACCUUAGUUGCUUCGGCGGGCCCGCCUUUAAGGCCGCCGGGGGGCAUCAGCCCCCGGGCCCGCGCCCGCCGGAGACACCACGAACUCUGUCUGAUCUAGUGAAGUCUGAGUUGAUUGUAUCGCAAUCAGUUAAAACUUUCAACAAUGGAUCUCUUGGUUCCGGCAUCGAUGAAGAACGCAGCGAAAUGCGAUAACUAGUGUGAAUUGCAGAAUUCCGUGAAUCAUCGAGUCUUUGAACGCACAUUGCGCCCCCUGGUAUUCCGGGGGGCAUGCCUGUCCGAGCGUCAUUGCUGCCCAUCAAGCACGGCUUGUGUGUUGGGUCGUCGUCCCCUCUUCGGGGGGGACGGGCCCCAAAGGCAGCGGCGGCACCGCGUCCGAUCCUCGAGCGUAUGGGGCUUUGUCACCCGCUCUGUAGGCCCGGCCGGCGCUUGCCGAACGCAAAACAACCAUUCUUUCCAGGUUGACCUCGGAUCAGGUAGGGAUACCCGCUGAACUUAAGCAUAUCAAUAAGCGGAGGAA